GACGAACGCUGGCGGCGUGCUUAACACAUGCAAGUCGAACGGAAAGGCCCUGCUUUUGUGGGGUGCUCGAGUGGCGAACGGGUGAGUAACACGUGAGUAACCUGCCCUUGACUUUGGGAUAACUUCAGGAAACUGGGGCUAAUACCGGAUAGGAGCUCCUGCUGCAUGGUGGGGGUUGGAAAGUUUCGGCGGUUGGGGGUGGACUCGCGGCUUAUCAGCUUGUUGGUGGGGUAGUGGCUUACCAAGGCUUUGACGGGUAGCCGGCCUGAGAGGGUGACCGGCCACAUUGGGACUGAGAUACGGCCCAGACUCCUACGGGAGGCAGCAGUGGGGAAUAGUGCACAAUGGGCGGAAGCCUGAUGCAGCAACGCCGCGUGCGGGAUGACGGCCUUCGGGUUGUAAACCGCUUUCGCCUGUGACGAAGCGUGAGUGACGGUAAUGGGUAAAGAAGCACCGGCUAACUACGUG
This 468-nucleotide ribosomal RNA is filed under the name uncultured bacterium. Its description in RNAcentral is "partial 16S ribosomal RNA". It matches the Rfam family "Bacterial small subunit ribosomal RNA", at positions 28 to 507 of the family's 1533-position model. The record is from RNAcentral.